Molecule: ribosomal RNA, 331 nt
Filed under: uncultured Lachnospiraceae bacterium
Lineage: Bacteria; Bacillati; Bacillota; Clostridia; Lachnospirales; Lachnospiraceae
Description: partial 16S ribosomal RNA
Source: RNAcentral
GGAGUUUGGGCCGUGUCUCAGUCCCAAUGUGGCCGGUCACCCUCUCAGGUCGGCUACUGAUCGUCGCCUUGGUGGGCCGUUACCUCACCAACUAGCUAAUCAGACGCGGGACCAUCCUAUGCCGUAAAGGCUUUUCACACUGCAUCAUGCGAUGCUGUGCGCUUAUGCGGUAUUAGCAGUCGUUUCCAACUGUUAUCCCCCUGCAUAGGGCAGGUUUCCCACGCGUUACUCACCCGUCCGCCACUCAGUCACAAACAUCUUCCACCCGAAGGCUUCUGUCGUAAGUGCUUCGUUCGACUUGCAUGUGUUAAGCACGCCGCCAGCGUUCAUC